RNAcentral lists this ribosomal RNA (467 nucleotides) under uncultured bacterium. RNAcentral describes it as "partial 16S ribosomal RNA". It matches the Rfam family "Bacterial small subunit ribosomal RNA", at positions 28 to 506 of the family's 1533-position model. The record is from RNAcentral.
GACGAACGCUGGCGGCGUGCUUAACACAUGCAAGUCGAACGGAAAGGCCCUGCUUUUGUGGGGUGCUCGAGUGGCGAACGGGUGAGUAACACGUGAGUAACCUGCCCUUGACUUUGGGAUAACUUCAGGAAACUGGGGCUAAUACCGGAUAGGAGCUCCUGCUGCAUGGUGGGGGUUGAAAAGUUUCGGCGGUUGGGGAUGGACUCGCGGCUUAUCAGCUUGUUGGUGGGGUAGUGGCUUACCAAGGCUUUGACGGGUAGCCGGCCUGAGAGGGUGACCGGCCACAUUGGGACUGAGAUACGGCCCAGACUCCUACGGGAGGCAGCAGUGGGGAAUAUUGCACAAUGGGCGGAAGCCUGAUGCAGCAACGCCGCGUGCGGGAUGACGGCCUUCGGGUUGUAAACCGCUUUCGCCUGUGACGAAGCGUGAGUGACGGUAAUGGGUAAAGAAGCACCGGCUAACUACGU